GGUAUUUCACAUGUAAACUCUCUCUAGCUGUGGUAUGAGAGAUUAGGAUCUCUUCGAGUGAGAUUCAGAUCAGCAAAAAAGGAAAUUUAGUUCUUUACUGCUUAAAGACACAGUAAUGGCAGCACCUCCCACAUCAGCGUCCAAGGGGCUCCUGGGAGGGGCAGCUGCUCUUCAGCUGGACGGAGAUUUUCAGCCAGAUCUUAACAGUGUAUAAGGGAAGAAAAAUAUGGAACAGAUUUGCCUUCACUGGGAAAACAUUGUCCUUCUCCCUAUGGCCCAGUCCCUGCCACGUCAGGGACAGCACUGUCAGUGUCCUGGCAAGGGGCAUUCUCCCACUGC
This is a long non-coding RNA of Serinus canaria (Common canary), 339 nucleotides long. RefSeq lists it as uncharacterized. NCBI's taxonomy places the organism in Eukaryota, Metazoa, Chordata, Aves, Passeriformes, Fringillidae. The transcript has 3 exons. The record is from RefSeq and is a predicted model, not a curated record.